This 330-nucleotide ribosomal RNA is filed under the name uncultured eukaryote. RNAcentral describes it as "partial 18S ribosomal RNA". It matches the Rfam family "Eukaryotic small subunit ribosomal RNA", at positions 1470 to 1796 of the family's 1831-position model. The record is from RNAcentral.
CCCUUAGAUGUUCUGGGCCGCACGCGCGCUACACUGAUGCAUUCAACGAGUCUAAAACCUGCUCUGAUAGGGGUGGGUAAUCUUUUGAAUGUGCAUCGUGAUUGGGAUAGAUGAUUGCAAUUUUUCAUCUUCAACGAGGAAUGCCUAGUAAACGCAAGUCAUCAGCUUGCAUUGAUUACGUCCCUGCCCUUUGUACACACCGCCCGUCGCUCCUACCGAUUGAGCGGUCCGGUGAAGACUCAAGAGAUAUGUAGGCGCUCGGGUGACCGAACGCGUUGCGUGUCAAAUUUGUCUAAACCUUAUCGCUUAGAGGAAGGAGAAGUCGUAACA